CAGGCAGUCCGACAUCUCGACCCCCCCCCCCAACAACCGGAGAGAAACGGCCGAGUGCAGGAGGGUAAUCGAGACGGUCGAAUGGGUCGAGAGGCUUCAUGAACACCCAGUGGAGGCCUCAAAACCUGAAUAAGAGCCUAUCUGGCCCGCGUUAGCACCGAACGGGCCACGCCUGCAGGUUGGAAGCCCGAGUUAAUUCGGGCGGUGGCUGCGACUCACGCUGAGGUCCCCCGGGAUAGUAGAAGAACAGCACUUGAAGGUGGAAAACUCAAAACAAACAUCUGAUCAAAACCUGACAGAGUCACUCGAUUCAUAAGAGCCUGAAAGUAUGUUGUUUCUGUGGAAUAAUAUUCAAACAUCUGUGUGACUGGAAAUAGGGGAGAGCAAAGCCACGGAGGGAUUUGAAAAUAAGGGGUGUUAGAAGGGGAGGAUUUGCAGUCAGGAAACUGAGACCAAACAUCACAUCAGGAUCUGACGGAGUCGCCCAGUUUAUUGUAAUCUGAAUAGCAUUGGACUUUGAACAUGGAAGGACAAAGCACCAUUCACAGUGGGGAGAAACCGUACACGUGUUCUGUGUGUGGACGAAGCUUCAGCCGAUCAUCUGGCCUGUCCAGACACAAGCGUAGUCACAGCGGGGAGAAACCGUGGAAGCAGGGAGAACCGCGGGGAUUGUGGGAAAGGAUUCCAUUCCCCAUCUUAUCUGGAAAUUCAACGACGCAGUCACACUGGGGAGAGGCCAUUCACCUGCUCCCAGUGUGGGAAGGGAUUCACUCAGUUAUCCAACAAGCUGAAACACCAGAGGGGUCACACUGAUGAGAAACCUUUUCAAUGCCCAGACUGUGAGAAGUGCUAUAAAAGUUCCAGUGAACUCAUGUACCAUCAACGUGUUCACACUGACUAGAGACCAUUCAGGUGCUCUCAGUGCGGGACUGGGUUCAAGCAUUCACCUGCCCUCAUUAAACACCAACGCACUCACAAUGGGGAGAGACCGUUUACCUGCUCCAAGUGUGGGAAGAGAUUCACUCAGUCAUCUAGCCUGCUGAGACACCAGCGAGUUCACAGUGAUGAAAGACCUUUUAAAUGUCCAGACUGUGGGAAGUGCUGUAAAAGUUCUGGGAACCUAAUGUCCCAUCAACGUGUUCACACUGACGAGAGACCGCUCAGGUGCUCUCAGUGCGGGACUGGGUUCAAGCAUUCACCUGACCUCACUAAACACCAGCACACUCACAGUGGAGAGAGAACAACUUCGAGUGUAGAAAGAGAUUCACUCAGUCAUCUGAUCUGCUGAAACACCAGCGAGUUCACAAUGAUGAGGGACAUUUUAAAUGCCCAGAUUGCAGGAAGUUCUUUAAGGUUCCCUGGAACUGACAUACAAUCACCGUGUUCACACUGAUGAGAGACCAUUCAGAUGCUCUCAUUGUGGGACUGGAUUCAGGCGAUCAUCACAACUCACUGUACACCAGCAAAUUCAGACUGGGGAGAGACUAUUCAUCUGACCUAAGUAUAGGAAGGGAUUCACUCAAAAUUCCCACAUGCUGACACAACAGUGAGCUCACAAGUAACCACACUGAUUGGAUUUUGCUGUUAAUCACAUCCAGGAUUGAACCAUAUUUAUUGGGGUCUGUUUCUACUGAUGUUAAUAAACUCCAGCCCAGUUAUAGGGGUUAAUAUUGUGGAUUAAAGUGAAAUAAAUUUGCUUUGUGUUAAA
This is a long non-coding RNA of Carcharodon carcharias (great white shark), 1708 nucleotides long. RefSeq lists it as uncharacterized. The transcript is spliced from 3 exons. The record is from RefSeq and is a predicted model, not a curated record. Lineage: Eukaryota; Metazoa; Chordata; Chondrichthyes; Lamniformes; Lamnidae.